This is a non-coding RNA of Nothobranchius furzeri (turquoise killifish), 3266 nucleotides long. The record is from RefSeq and is a predicted model, not a curated record. Lineage: Eukaryota; Metazoa; Chordata; Actinopteri; Cyprinodontiformes; Nothobranchiidae.
AAUUUAAAUUUAAUAGGGUAAAACCCUGUGCAUUUAACAUAAUGCUGCACUUUAGAAAAUGGGUUGAAAUGUUGGUGGAGCUGGGUUCCGACUAUCGGCUUGUGGAGCUCUCGGGAGACCUCUGUUUUCCACCCGGUUCUCCCCUCCCCGCAGCUCAGCGCAUCUCUGUCUGAUCGCAGCUCCUGUCUGCUGCGCGGGCUGCCGGCUUGUGGAGCUCUGGGAUGGAAACCUUUCCACCCAGUUCUCCCCAGCGGCAGCUCUGCGCAUCUCAGAUCCCAGUGGCGCUUGUCUGCUGUGCGGCUGCCGGCUUGUGGAGCUCUCGAAUGGAAACCGACGCUUUCCACCCGGUUCUCCCCUCCCCGCAGCUCAGCGCAUCUCUGAUCGCCGCGGCUGUCUGCUGCGCGGGCUGCCGGCUUGUGGAGCUCUGGGAUGGAAAUCUUUCCACCCGGUUCUGCCCAGCGGCAGCUUUGCGCAUCUCAGAUCACAGCGGCGCUUGUCUGCUGUGCGGCUGCCGGCUUGUGGAGCUCUCGGGAGACCUCAGUGUUCGACCUGGUUUUACCCAGCGGUCAGCCUGGCGUAUCUCUGACUCAGAAGCUCUGGUGUUGUGCACAGUUAACUCCGGUUGUAGCUAGGUUGCUACCUCCGUUAGCUUAGCUCCCACCUCCGCGUUAGCUUUGGGUUAGCUUCAGGUUAGCUUGUAGCUAGUUCGACCGGGUGUCGUCAGUUGAUCCCAGCCUUACAGCCCCACCCUCAGCUCCACCUCUCUUCCCUUUUGUGGAAUUGUCUGGGCUUGACGGAACCUGUGACACAGUCAAAAUGGUGGUGGUGGCCACCUCCCAUUUCUCCUCAAAAAGUUGUUAUUGGAGUCUAUGGAAACCCAUUGUCCAUAUAUGUAUAUGUUGAUGAUCACCACACCACUUAUUGAAAAGGUAUUAAAAUAUAUAUUGUUCUCUGCUAAAUUUAGUUAAUUUUCCAAUCAAAAGUCCCUGUUAAGGAGCUGCAGUUCGUCACCCAAUAUGAAGUCUCACAGUUUGUUAAAACUUCUCCAAGUUGGCACACUAAGAAAAUGCCGGGUGAAAAAAUAUCGAAGCUUUUGCGACAUUUUGUUAAAGUAAAAGGAAACAGAGUAAAGUUGUGUCACAAAUAGGGCUGCAACAACGAAUCGAUAAAUUCGAUGAAAAUCGAUUACUAAAAGCGUUGGCAACGAAUUGCGUCAUCGAUUCGUUGUGUUGCACAACUCUUCCAAAAGCCCCCUCCCCUCCCGCCCGCCGUUGCGUGCAGACCGGAGAGCCGGCAGGUGUUUGGAAGAGGAACAUGGCAGAAGCAGCGAGACCCAAAAAAAGUAAAAACUUCUAAAGUUUGGGAGCAUUUUCAGUUAAAUCAGGCGAAGACAUUCGUUACCUGCAACGUUUGUAGGUCAGACUUAGCAUGGCACGGGAGUACUACAGUGAUGAUGCAGCAUCUUAAACGCAAGCAUGUCAGAAUCAUCAGCGAGGAAGGAGAGAGCUCGGUGUCCGGGUAAGUUAAAGAGCAAGUAACGUCUAAAUUAACUUUUUUUUGCUAAUGAACUGUAUAAAUGAGUGUCUAAUAGUGCUUUAAAUGUGUGUAUUCAUUAUUUUAGCAUUUUGGUGCAUUUUCUUCAAAAAUUAAAAAUUCUGCCUAAAUACCACAGUAUAGCGCCACCUUCAGCUUAAAACAUAGAAUUUGACUCAUUUUGAAUAAAUUUUAGCCAAUGGCUAAAGAGUAAGAUACAACGUAAAUCAGUAGAAUACUACGUAGCAGCUCUGUGUCAACGUUAUAAAAGCAACGAGCGUCUCGGCCACGCCUUGUGGCGAGUUGGGAGUUGGAUUUGCAAGUGAGUGUAGGAGGCUAGCCGUAGUUCAGCAUUAGCAUAUAGCAUUAGCAUAUCCUAGUCUUUAGCAUAGCUUUUAGUGUUAUACAUACUUAUUUAGUGUUAGCUUGUCUGUUGGAUAUUGUAGUUUAGUUAGUGUUUGGCUGUUAGUGUAAUUAGGAAAGUAGUUCGGGUUUAGUACUCCAUAUCGUGUUAGCAUGGUGAGAUGGUGUAGUGUAGUAUGGUUGCGGUGGCUCUGUGGGCAUUUUAUCCGCGAUUCUGCACGCCUCCGUUUGAAGAGGGAGGCUGUGCCCACCGUGGCUCUUCCGCGAUUUAGAUGCAGCCCACCGACUCUGCUCCCCCACCACGGCGGGCUCCAGUCUGAGGUGAGUCAGCUAAAUAAAGUUUUAACAUCUUCUAACAACAAUUCCCUACCUAAAUGCAAAGUCCGAGAGACGUGGUUCACUUCAUUUAGCUAGUCAGUCGGUAAUUCUGCAACAGUGUCUCUAACUAACGCAGCACUAGUUGACAGACAGCAUUACAGUGUGAAAUCCAGCUUGUGACCCAGUUUUGUGAGGAAUUCUGUUCAGGAGGUCGCAUUUCAGGCCCUCCACAUCAUAUGUGACUGACUUUUACGUUAUAACAACGAUCACACACUAGGACUGUUAUAAAGCGCCUAUAUAGGAGUUUCUUUUGUAUAUUAUCUGACUUUAUAAACUCCAACAACAAUGUGCUUCUAUUUGUUUUUCAGGCUAAAUCUACCCAAGACACUGGCUGUCAGACUGAUUUAGCUGCAAGAAUGCACUUGUCCAGGCUGACAUGAAGCCUUACCGGCGUAGCAAAGCCAGCCAGAAGAGCUCACAGCCUCAGUGUGUCUUGUGACACGGGGACCAUGACGGAAAUUCAUCUUCCAGAAGGUCCCAGAGCAGCGUCCACACCCCCUGAAAAGACCAAGAUGUGAGGUGUCUGCUGUUGAUUCCAGCUUCCACCUCAGUGACAGUGCAAGCUCAGUGAACUGUUCAAGGAGGCUACUGAUUCUGGCCCUGUGACACUUGGUGGUGAUGUGUGAGCUGAUUCACCUGGACACUCAGCAAAAUAUGGACUCUACACCAUGAGGCAGGCACAAGUUAAUACUUAUAAGAGCACAUAAGGUGAGCAACACCACAUAUUAUUGUACACUGUCCUGGAUUUGUUUUCCUUCUGCAUGAUUUGUUUUCUUUCUGCAUCUCAUCAUUAGCCUGGCUGAUCACCUGAUAACUCUGUCAUCUGGUUAUGACAGCAUGAGGAUGUCCUCACACACCUGUAACCUAUCAGCUCAUCUGGCAGAAUAGAGAGAGGAGACAACACCACAUCUCCUGUUCCUGGAAAGCCUUCAGCCAUCCUUCGAUGACUGAGAACCUCCAUCAGCUCUCUGAGAUAUUUGGCAGCACAAAAU